Molecule: long non-coding RNA, 2664 nt
Filed under: Sus scrofa (pig)
Lineage: Eukaryota; Metazoa; Chordata; Mammalia; Artiodactyla; Suidae
Description: lncRNA (ENSSSCG00060072445.1)
Source: RNAcentral
AGACUUCAUAGAUCCACAGGGAGCUCUCCUCUGAUUUUUCCUGAUAGUACGGUUUUGUCCCAUCCUUCUAUUUAAGCAUCUGAGAUUCAGCAUAAUUAACAGCUGCUGCCACCAUCAUGUCCAGGAGAGAAGAACCAGAGGGACUAAAAGAAGUCAGCUCAUGUCAAAAAAAAAAAGAAACCCCAAACAACCAAAUCAAAAUGGGCAGAAGAUCUAAAUAUGCAUCUCUUAAAGAAGACAUACAGAUGGACAAAAACAAAAAACAAAAAUAAAACAUGAGAAGAUGCUCAACAUCACUAAUUAUUAGAGAAAUGCAAAUCAAAACUACUAUAAGUUACCACCUUACAUCAGAAUGGCCAUCAUCAAAAAUUCUACAAGCAAUAAAUGCUGGAGAAGAUGCGUAGAAAAAGGUUCUGCCUAACCCUCUUACCUUAAUGGUGGGAAUGUAAAUUGGUGCAACCACUAUGGGAAACAGUAGGGAAGUUCCUCAAAAAACUAAAAAUAGAACUACCAUAGGAUCCAGCAACCCACGCCUAGGCAUCGAUGUAGAAAACCUUAAUCUGAAAAGAUACAUGCACUGCAAUGUUUCUUGCCGCACUGUUUACAACAGCCAAGACAUGGAAGCAACCUAAACAUCAUCGACAGAGCAAUGGAUAAAGAAGAUGUGGUACCUAUAUGCAAUGGAGUAUUAGACAUAAACAAGAAUGACAUAAUGCCAUUUGCAGCAUGGAUGAACCUAGAGAUUGUCAUAUUAAGUGAAGUUAGAUAUUGAAACACAAACAUCACAUCACUUAUACGUGGAAUCUAAAAAAAGAAAAGUGACGAGACCUGCUCAUCCACUCAGGUCCCAAAGUCAGUGGUGCUGCCGAUUUAAGACAGCAGAGACAAAGAAAUAGAGUGGGGAUCAGGGGGCUACUGCCUUCGAGGGGCAAUAGCAAUCCUCUGAGCCAAGUCAUGAUUUUUAUUUGCUAUUUUCUACUUCCUAGUACGUUCAGAAUCACAGGUGUUAUUUACAAGAGUACUGAUCAAGGCUACAGAUAUGCAAGGCACAGACCCUUUGUAUUCAUAGAUGCUGUAAAUGAUUAACCCUCCAGAGAAAGAUUAUAUUGUUUAUGCUUACGGCUAUUAACGCUCUUUCCUCCAACUCCCUUAGGGUCAUGAGAACAAGAACAUCAAUGGCUUUCCAUCGACAACAUCUGGAGUAUUUAGCAACUUGAUUUCAAGCAGCCACUCAUCCGGUGUACCUUUCCUGUCUCACUCCCUUUCCCCCAGGGGUCUGGGAAAGUCAUAUAUUUUGCAAGCCUAGAUUAGCAUCAUUCUUCAAGCGCCAUCUAGUUUCUUUGCUUCACUAUGCCCUGUAUACAUGCAUAUCUGGCAAGCCUCCAACAAAAAAGGAUACAGACAGAUUUACUUGUAGAACAGAAACAGAUUCACAGACUUUUAAAAACAUAUGGUUACCAAAGGGGACAGGUGGGGGUGGGGAAGGAUGGACUAGCGGCUUUGGGAUGGCAUAUGCACACUGAGGUAAAUGGAAUGAUUGGCCAACAGGGAACAUGCUGUAUAGCACAGAGAACUCCACCCAAUAUUCUGGGAUAAGCUAUGUGGGAAAAGAGUAUGAAAGAGAAUGGAUAUGUGUACAUGUAUAACUGAAUCAAUUUGCUGUAUAGAAAAAAUUAUCACAACAUUGUAAAUCAACUAUACUUCAAUAUAACUUUUAAAAAUCAGGAGAAAAUACUUAAAGGAGGGGAAAAGGUUAGCUAAGCAGGCAUUUGGGAUAGAGCAUUCCAGCCAGAGAAGAGCAAAAGUCUUACAGCAGGAGGAUACCUAGUGCCUUUUAAUAACAGCAUGGGGGCCAAGUAGGGAGUGAGUCAAGAAGGGAAUUGGGGGAGAUGAGUUCAGGAGAGGCCAUUGUACAAAUUUAGAGCCAUUUGGAGCUUUAGGCAGAGAAAGGAGAAGAGGAAGGAUCUGCUUUGAGUUUCAGAAGAAUUACUCCAUUGUGUUUAGAAUUCCCUGUAAGCAUGGAAGUGAUUACAUAACAUAGACACUAAAGCAGUAAUCUGGCUGAGAGAUGAUGAGAUAAUGGACUCAGAGCAGGGUCUUAGCAAAAGAAGUGAUAAAAUCCUAGAGAGAUAUAUGUAUAUAUACACACACUGCAUUUUAGAGCCACACCUGUGCAUAUGGAAGUUCCUGGGCUAGGGAAUGAAUGACAUCUGCAACUGCUGGCCUACACCACAGCCACAGCAACCGCCAGAUCCAAACUGUGUCUGUGACCUACACCACAGCUCACAGCAACUCUGGAUCCUUAACUCAUUGAGCGAGGCCAGGGAUCGAACCCACUUCUGCAUGGAUGCUAAUCGGGUUCAUAACCCACUGAACCACAACAGGAACUCCCUGGAUAUAUUCUGAGGUUGGAGAUAAUAGGAUUUCCUGAAGCACUGGAUAUUGGCUGCUAGUUCUUCAUUUUAUUUUCCGUUUCACAUUGAUGUAUCAGCUUCCUGCGUUGGAAGAUAAGACUUAGGCUUGCUUUUGCAUAAUAUUUUAUUUCUCCUUUCACACACUCACAUAAACACACCUGUUCCCCAAACACCCUAGUAUAAUUAUAUCCUAAUGUUAGAUAAUUCAGAGUUUGUAUUAUAGUGAUAAUAAAGAUGGUUUUCACAGCUA